AAUCAACUAAACUGGGUAUGAUGAGCCCGCUAAGAACACCAGCGCUUUUGCUCCUCCAAGGUCUUUUUUUUCGAAAGAAAGAAAGAUCUUCUUAGGGGGACGAAUUCAUUUCGCUGAUAUGCCCUGGCACAAAACUCACCACUCUGAAAGGGGACAAUUUGAGGAAAUCUCUGACCC
RNAcentral lists this small nucleolar RNA (177 nucleotides) under Neurospora crassa. RNAcentral's name for it is "box C/D snoRNA CD52". Lineage: Eukaryota; Fungi; Ascomycota; Sordariomycetes; Sordariales; Sordariaceae. The record is from RNAcentral.